UUGAAGUUCUCCCAUCUCUUAAAAGACUGAAGCAGCGAAUUACUGCAGCUGGUCGUGGAGAAUAUGAUGCUGUUUUUAUGUCUGGAAGUGGAAGCACUAUUGUUGGCAUUGGUUCACCAGAUCCUCCACAAUUUGUUUAUGAUGAAGAUACAUACAAAGAUGUUUUCUUGUCAGAUGCAUAUUUCCUCACUAGAGAGGCUAACCAGUGGUACAGAGAACCUACCUCAAGCCCUACCCCUUCGUCCUAUUCUUCUCAGAUUGCUUAAUUAGUCUUCUUUCCAUUUCCAUAAGCCUCUACAUGGUUAUAUAUUAUCUCCAUAUUGUAAUCAUGAAAUGAUGUAGAACUUAGCUCUGCUGCAUUUUCUGCUUUAGUUGCUGCGACUUUCAUGAGCCAAAUUCAAGGAUCUGGGUUCUCUGCUGUACCUUUAUGCUGCUACAAUUAUAAAAUUUUAAUUUUUUA
Prosopis cineraria is the source of this 460-nucleotide long non-coding RNA. RefSeq lists it as uncharacterized. Lineage: Eukaryota; Viridiplantae; Streptophyta; Magnoliopsida; Fabales; Fabaceae. The transcript is spliced from 3 exons. The record is from RefSeq and is a predicted model, not a curated record.